Molecule: ribosomal RNA, 261 nt
Filed under: Triticum aestivum (bread wheat)
Lineage: Eukaryota; Viridiplantae; Streptophyta; Magnoliopsida; Poales; Poaceae
Description: partial small subunit ribosomal RNA
Source: RNAcentral
AUGGAUCCGGAAAUGAGGGAUCAUGUUAAGAAGAGGGAGGAGGAGGAUGAUGACAUGAUGUUAUUCAUUUUCCCUACACUACAUUUGAUAGAGACCGGUGGAGUUGCUCCUAGGGAGCCGAGCAUUCCGCGUCAUACAUCAUCGCUAACAGGAGAGAUGUUUGUUAAGGAGUUACUCGAAGGGCACAUCAAAAACUGUCGGGUAGCAUUUAGGAUUGAGCCACAUAUCUUCAAAUAUUUGGCCAAUUAUCUUCGAAGGUAG